CACCUGUUUCUUUUGGAAUAUUUGCCGCCAGCCAUCGGUAAAGAAAACAGGCUCUUGGCCUUUUUUGCUGUGCUACCUCCUGGUGCCCUUUGCUCAUCCAGAUGUUCCUCGAACUCCUGCUCAUGCAGGCGUAAAGGUGGCUCUCUCUCCAGUGGCGAGGAUGGGGCCACAGUGGUGAAGGUAGCUGCGCCAGCCCUCAGGGCGGCCCUGGUCCAAAGGACGUGGGUCCAGGAGCCAGCUCGCUGUCCCGGGAGGAGCCAGCUCGCUGUAGCCAAUGACGGGCCUGGUGGGCAGGAGGGCCCAGCCCCCUUGUUCCAGUGCCAUCAAUCUGAAGGGCCACCCACUUUCCGGUCGUCCCAGGGCCUGCUGACCCUGCCUUCCCCUCCCACCCAGCAGCCACACCCAGGAGCGCUCCCCAACACAUUCCUCGCUGGAAACCCCCAGGACACCCGCCAGCCUGUACGAACCAGGCGUGGGGACACUAACACAAGUCCCUUUCCUUCACUGGGGGGGCCCUGGGGCUGCUGCUGGGCCUGCUCGCGCUCCGGGGCUGUCCCCUCUUCGGCUGCCGAAGUCACCGCUGGCCCACCAGGCCUGGCAGCCACCCACCCGCUCCCUGCCGCCCGGGUCCGCGUGGCGUCGGCCGCCCCCACCCUUCCCCGCCCUCCCGGAGCCCGGGGGGCGCCCCCAUUCCCGCCGCCGCCCAGUCCUCCCAACCCCAGGCCGGAGCCGCGCAGGGCGCCUUCGCACACGUCCCGCGAGGACCAGACCUGUUCCUGGUCCCUGGGCCGCCCAUCUCCGCCGGGAAGGCGGCUUCCUCCGGGGCCCGGCCCCACCCCAGCGACCGGCAGCAGCGCGCCGAGUCGGACAACUCAGGCCGGGGCCACUACCAGGGUCAAGCCCUGUUCUGGGACCAAAGGAUGGCUCCACGGGAGCGCGCCUGCGCACCGCCCCUCCUCGUGGCGCGGAGGCGCGGCCCAGGAACUGCAGGAGCAGGCCAGCCAUCUGCGCCUGCGCAAGACCAGGCGCGACCCCGAGGGCGUUCGGGGGAGGGAACGCUGCGGACUGCUCGCAGCGUGCGCACGCACGCACGCACGCGUGCCUCGGGAAGCGUCGAGUCCGGGACGCCCAGAGCGGGCACGGAGCAGGGGGAAGGGAAGCGCGGCUCGGUCGGUGCGGGUGGAGGGGGGCGUGAGGCCGGCCUACGGUGGCCGUCGAGGGACGGCGCUACGGCUCCCACGCUGGGCCAAACUCCUCCGGCGGCCGCACCCGGGCGCCCCUUCACCUGCAGGGCGACCCCAGCCGAGGACGCGUGAACCACGCCCGCAGCCGCCCCGCCGGGGCCCCCAGCCGCGCGCCCCGGCACCAUGCGGCCGCCCUGCGCACGGAGCCCCGAGGGACAGGGGCGCCCGCAGUCCCGGCCCCCAGCACCGCCGGCCGGCCCCGAGGUCCGGGACGCCAGCGCCACCGCGGAGAGGGCACCGGGCCGACGCCUCCCCCGAGGCUCAGCGGCGGGCUCCCAGGCCUAGGCGCCCAUGACCCCUACGCUGACCGCUGCCUGGACGCCGCCGCCACCACCGCGAGUUAGCGCCGCCGCCACCAGGGCCCAAUGCCGGUCAUGCCCAUCCCGCGGCGGGUGCGCUCCUUCCACGGCCCGCACACCACCUGCCUGCAUGCAGCCUGCGGGCCCGUGCGCGCCUCCCACCUGGCCCGUACCAAGUACAACAACUUCGACGUGUACAUCAAGACGCGCUGGCUGUACGGCUUCAUCCGCUUCCUGCUCUACUUCAGCUGCAGCCUGUUCACCGCGGCGCUCUGGGGUGCUCUGGCCGCCCUCUUCUGCCUACAGUACCUGGGCGUUCGCGUCCUGCUGCGCUUCCAGCGCAAGCUGUCGGUGCUGCUGCUGUUGCUGGGCCGCCGGCGCGUGGACUUCCGCCUGGUGAACGAGCUGCUCAUCUACGGCAUCCAUGUCACCAUGCUCCUAGUCGGGGGCCUGGGCUGGUGCUUCAUGGUCUUCGUGGACAUGUGAGGGCCGUGGACACGAGCUUGAUGUAUCGUCCCGGCCUGUGGCUGUGUUCUUUCCAUGGGUGGGGUCGGCCAGGGCCUUCCCUUCCGCCCAUCCCGCAGGCAGUGGCUGCUGCUCAGCGCCCACGGAGAGAAAAGAAAGGGCUGAGACUUCCGCGAUGGGGGUGCGGACGCCGCCCCUAGGCUGGCUUCCUGCGUCCACCCUCCCCAUGUGCACUCUCAGGGGCGGCGCCCACCAGCUGGUGGCUCCUGCUCACACAUCUUCAGGUCCUACUGCGGAGUGGGCCCUCUGUUCUGCCUCUCUGUGGGCUUCUCUCCAGGACCACUGCCAGGGACUUUAGACGUCACCGUGGAAGGCCUGUGGACACAGAGGGCUGUGUGCCCAGGAACAAAUCCGGAGGGGGGGUUCCCUCCUGGCUGCACAGUCCCUUCCUGCGUUCCCUGGUCUCAGCCCCAGCCAACGGGACACGGAAGGCUCCUUGCGCUGACACACCACACUGCCACAAAGCUGCUU
Molecule: long non-coding RNA, 2539 nt
Filed under: Piliocolobus tephrosceles (Ugandan red Colobus)
Lineage: Eukaryota; Metazoa; Chordata; Mammalia; Primates; Cercopithecidae
Description: lncRNA (ENSPTEG00000026677.1)
Source: RNAcentral